AUGGCCGGCGCGCCCCGCGAGGGCGGCGAGGGGGCGGGGGCUCCCCCUCUCCCUCCGACCACUGGUCUCGCGAAGUACAUCUCGCUGGGCACGGUCCCCCCGGCGGGGGAGCCCAGGCACGCGCGCCACGCCGAGCUGCGGCGGGCGCUCCAGGCGGGCGACCCGCCCGAGGAGCUCCGGCGGGUCCGCGACAGCGUCGCCGAGUCCUCCGGCAAGGCCAGGGACAAGGUGCGGUCGCUGGAGGACGCGAUCCAGAAGAUCGAAAAGUACAAGAACGUCGUCACGCGCAGGCGGCAGAGGAGCGACGCCAGCGCCGCCAAGACAGGGGCGCCACCACCUGCGGCCCCCGCUGCCGCGUCGAGGGCCGGUGCUCAGGGCUACAACAACAGCUCCCUGGGGGCAAUCAGCAAGCGCAUGCGGUCCUCGAUGACAGAAGGACGGUUGGAAGGACGUGGUAGUGUUCCGACAAGGCAAGGUCCUCUAGCUAAUAGUGCUAAAACGUCACCACUGGAGAAGGAAAAAACUUGUGCAAGAACAUCUGUUACAGUAUCGGAGUUGUCUGAGGACAAAUCACAGUGCUCACCCAAAGUAAAACGCAAGCGCUCUCUGGGAACAAUGCUCAGUAGAAGCAAUGAUGCUGAUCGAGAUGUUAAACCUGUGGGUCAAAACAGGCCAGCUAACGAAGCACGUCCGCGGUCUAGUGAUGGUCUUGCAUUCAGACAUGGAGCUUCUGUCGGAGCAGUAGCAGGUAGCAAGAUGGAUAGCAGUUUUCAGCAGAAUAACAUUGGGUUGCGUAUUCUAUCCAAGAUUGAUGUGGAUUAUGCCAGUCUACCAAAUGAAAGAAGAAUCCGGCAUGCUGGACCUGGAAAGGAGCGUGCUAUGAUAAAAGGAAACAAGGUACAUACUUCUGAUACAAACUUAAGUCCCUCGCCCAAGACUAAAGCAUGCAGGUCACCAAGAACAAGUUCACUUGUCAUGCCCCCCUUCCAACGUUCAGCUGGAGUAAGCGAUGAGUGCGAAGAAGCACCUUGCUCAAAUAAAGCCUCACCUUUGAGAAGCAUGACAAACCGCAAACGUUCAGGUGGUUCGACACCUUCAAAUGCGUCCACACCUCCGAUUGCUUGGGUUGGUCAGCGCCCACAGAAAAUUUCACGGACAAGGAGAGCGAAUGUAGUGUCUCCAGUCUCAAAUUUAGAUGAAGCCUUAUCUGAUGGAUCUCCACUUGAUACUGCUGCUAGGCCAGCAUCUAUUGAGUCAUGCAGUAUUUUGCUUCCAAAAACCGUUACCGGCAGUAAUUCACAAACAGUAGCCAAGAUUGAUAACAUCUCAUCUCCUGUUGGGUUGUUUGAAAGUGGGCGGCUCGCUGCUACCGAAAGCAUGGCCAAGGAGAAAGUUAAGAAUAGUGGUGAACUGGAGAAUGAGGAGGCAACUGCAGUCCACAAUGCAACAGGAUCAAUUGUUCCAUCAAAUAAGGCACCUUCAAAAGAAAAACCUGAACAUGGAGGUGUUCUUCGGCACGGGAGGAGCGGAAGAGGUUCUAUGGACUUAAAAGGGUGCUCUUCAAUAUCAGAAGAAAAUUUGGAUGCUACAGGAACAAGAAAACCACUAAAAUGUGGAAGAGCUGGAGAAGAAAACAAUGAAAGUAAAGUGGGGCACUCCAUGAUGACUAAACCUUCUGACUGCAAAACUUCACCCAGUCAUGAACAGACUCUGAAUUGCAAGCCUACAGUUAUACCAGCUGAACCAGACGGUGACCUAGAGGAGCUUUUAGCUGCUGCAAAUGCUGCUCGCAGUGCUAUCAUUGGUGCAUAUUCUGGACCUUUUUGGAAGGAGAUGGAGCCAAUGCUAACUUUCAUAAGCUCUGAAAAUUUAGCUUUCUUAGAGCACCAGAUUGACCUUGUGGAAGAGCUUGAGAUGAACAUGUCCUAUGGUGGACAUAAUGUCAUAGCAUCCACCGACUGCAUCAAACCACAAACAAUGGAGGAGAUUUCUUCUCAGGUGCUGGCUGCAUCUAAUUCAUCUCUCUCAUCCGAGCUAAGCAAAACCAGUGGAGUUAGAACAAAAGGACCUGUCAGAAGUUGUAUCCCUGGCGAGGAAAACCUCAUCAAUGGGCCACAAAAUGUAGAACCCAACGAAUGGUUUCAUGAGAUGGCCCCGAUGGCACACAGACUCCUUUCAGCUUUAAUCAUGGAAGAUAAUUUUUCUGGCUCCAGUGAUGUGCAAAGAGACAUCUUUGUCGAUAUUUCAGAUAGCCAUAUUCCCUGCACUGCCCACAGAUACCUAACUAAUGAAGUUCAAGUCAGUGACAUAGCAUAUAAUUCUGGGUUGAGUGUGGAUUUUACACACUCAAGCAAUUCUUCAGUGGUAAAUCAGAGCCUGUGCGAUGGAUACACAGCUUCGAGCAAUUUCAUGAGCUCCAGUAGUCAAACUUCGAUCCAUUGCGAGAGUUUGUCAGAUGGAUUCAAUGGUGCUGUACACCCAGAAUAUGGCCAUUUGCAUGACUUAAUACCACAGAUUUCACAGCAGUGUGGAAAUUCAAGGAAAAAUAUCUCUAUACCUCCACAUGAAUAUCAGUACAUGCAGAUGUCUAUGGAUGAUAAGAUUCUGAUUGAGCUGGAAAGUAUUGGCAUUUGUCUGGAGACAGUGCCAAAUCUAGAUGAUGAAGGGGAUGAGGACAUCAAUAAAAUGAUUUCAGAGCUGAGGAGAAGGCUACAUGAUCAGUUGAAGGAAAAGAAAUAUGGAUUGCAUAAGUUAGACAAAGCAAUUCAAGAUACAAAAAGUAUCGAGGAGAGGAGCUUAGAGCAACAUGCAUUGAACAAACUGGUUGAAAGCGCGUACAGUAAACUUCAGGGUGUGGAGGCUGCGGAGGGUACGCGAGCCGGUUCUCGUCAAAACAAGGCUGUUGUCAGUAGGGCUGAAAAAGAACUAGCAUUUUCCUCAGCCUUUGCCAGGCGCACCCUUGCCCGAUGCGAGAGGUUCGAGGGAAUGAAGAAGAGCUGCUUCAGAAAGCCUUCUCUUUGGAGCGUGCUAUCUGCACCCUUCCCAAUCAGCGACGCAAAGUCUACAGAAGGUGUUACAACAAGAUCAAAAAAGGGCAAGAGGGAAAGGGACCGCAGCAGAGAAGCAUCGGCGAAGGGCUCCGGUGGAAGAUCAGGGCGCCGCUCCUCAGGCAGCGGGAGGAGCGGUGACCGCAGAAACAAGACAAAGUCAAAGCAGAAGCUGGUGCAGCUAUCAGCCUCCGGCGACGUCCUAGGCAGAGCCGCUGAGCCAUCUCCAGCACCGGCAGUGCAGGAGCACCCGGAACCGUCGGCGGGCCCUUCAGGCACAGCAAGAAUCUCCCGGCAACAAAGGGCUGCUCCUGGGAACGCCACCCAGCGAUCCACCCAUCCCGUGAUGCCAGCAAGCCUGCCUGGACUGGACGACGACAUGUUGGACGUCCCGGUGGGGCUCGACGUGCAGGAAGGCGGCGAUUUCAGCUCGUGGUUCCCCGACGGGCUUGACGAGUCGUUGCCGCAGGACUGUGACUUCUCAGGCGUUCUUGAGGUGCCUGAUGACGACCUGACGCAGCUUGGGUUCAUGUGA
RNAcentral lists this ribosomal RNA (3582 nucleotides) under Triticum aestivum (bread wheat). RNAcentral's name for it is "partial small subunit ribosomal RNA". The record is from RNAcentral. Lineage: Eukaryota; Viridiplantae; Streptophyta; Magnoliopsida; Poales; Poaceae.